This 71-nucleotide transfer RNA is filed under the name Marmota monax (woodchuck). RNAcentral's name for it is "tRNA.Ser". The record is from RNAcentral. Lineage: Eukaryota; Metazoa; Chordata; Mammalia; Rodentia; Sciuridae.
GGGGAUGUGGCUCAAGAGGUAGAGCACUCUCCUGGAGUGUGUGCAGCCUGGGUUUGAUCCUCAGCACCACA